UACGUAGGUCCCGAGCGUUGUCCGGAUUUAUUGGGCGUAAAGCGAGCGCAGGUGGUUUAUUAAGUCUGGUGUAAAAGGCAGUGGCCCAACCAUUGUAUGCAUUGGAAACUGGUAGACUUGAGUGCAGGAGAGGAGAGUGGAACUCCAUGUGUAGCGGUGAAAUGCGUAGAUAUAUGGAGGAACACCGGUGGCGAAAGCGGCUCUCUGGCCUGUAACUGACACUGAGGCUCGAAAGCGUGGGGAGCAAACAGG
Molecule: ribosomal RNA, 252 nt
Filed under: uncultured bacterium
Lineage: Bacteria
Description: partial 16S ribosomal RNA
Rfam family: Bacterial small subunit ribosomal RNA
Source: RNAcentral